AUCUGGGCUCUCUAUUCUGUUCCAUUCGUCUAUAUGAAAUUGGAGGGAGAGAUGAACCAUGAGAGACUAUGGACUCUGAGAAACAAACUGAGGGUUUGAGGGGAGGGGGAUGGGGGAAUGGGUUAGCCUGGUGAUGGGUAUUAAGGAGCGCACGUACUGCAUGGAGCACUGGGUGUUAUAUGAAAGCAAUGAAUCGUGGAUCACUACAUCAAAAACUAAUGAUGUAUGGUGACUAACAUAACAUAAUAAAAUAAAAUUUAAAAAAAUAUAUAUCUAUAUUUUCAGUGAUUACAAUGCUCCCUACAUCCCUGAGAAAAUUAAAGUGCUGAGGACCACUUCUUGACACCUUCAAGUAGAUUUGUGAAUUGUACCCAGAGAAGCCACAUUCAUUUUCAACCUGCUCAGCCUGGGAGGUAGAUUCUCCUCCGUGUCAAACCCCUCAUCAGAUUCCCUUUCCUCAAAGGCCUGGUUGAAGAUAGGAGCACUCUUCCUAGACGUCAGGUUGUGAUCACAAACGGCUUCCAGCAUAAAACCACUUGUGUGGAGAACAAGGGUUUCUUGUCCUCCUCAUCGUCUUCCUCUUCUUCCGCCCUGAACAGACGCUUCUGCCCACUGGCCGUCGGUUUCAAGCUUGUGAGUCUCACUGUGGAGAGUGCUGGUCUAGUCCAGCCUACUUGGGAAGGUCUGAAAUGCUGAAGAUAGGACACAACCAUAGCCUUUUUGGGGGCUUGUUUUGUAAUCAUAUAUGAUCCAAGAAACCUCUGCUACAAACCAAUGGAAAGGAGACUGUAUAAUUAUGGAUGGUGUGACCUUCUUCAAACAGCCAUAUCCAGGAGCUCACCAAGGAUUUCCUUAGAUAAGGAAUCCCAAAGCAAUAUGAGACAUCAGAUCAGUCUUCCUCUUGGUCACCUCAACAAAAUCCAGAGCCAGUGUCAGCAGGUAUAAAGGAAAGGAGUUAAAAAGAGUUUUUUGUUUUGUUUCGAUGAUAGAAAAAUGUGUGCCUCAAAACAGCUUCCCUGCUUUAAAAUAUUGAUAUCAGUCUUUGUAUGAAGAUGCUGUCUUAUUUAGUCUAGUGAAAAGAUCCCAAGAGGGUGUGGUGACAUGCAUCGAUGUGGAGAAGAGGUGAGUCACGAUGGGUGUGCAGUCUAUUACCCACAAAGUUAUGAAACUCCUUAUGGUGUGAAAGAGGUAUAGUCCUUCAGGAAACUGGAGAAAAUCCCAGAUAACUAUCUCAAGAAUUACCUGAGAUCUCUCAUAAACCCAGAUUCGCACAAGUGCUGGACAGUAACUGAAUGAAUUCCCAGAGAAUUCUGUGACCUUUCAGUCUUAUCAACUCAGAAAUACAUUGUUUCCUUGUGGCAGGAAAGUAUCAGAACCUCUCUAAUCAAGUAUAAGUCAUUAGAAUGUAGAAUCUUCAAUUUGUAUCACAACAUGAUGGACCACAGGAGUUCAUCAAGAUGAUUGAAUAGGUUCUUCUGGCGCUACUGCAGAUAAGGAUUUAUUUAUUUGUUUAUUUAUUUAUUUAUUGACAGAGAGGGACACAGCGAGAGAGGGAACACAAGCAGGGGGAGUGGGAGAGGGAGAAGCAGGCUUCCCGCUGAGCAGGGAGCCUGAUGCGGGGCUUGAUUCCAGGACCCUGGGAUCAUGACCUGAACCGAAGGCAGACACUUAACGACUGAGCCACCCAGGCGCCCAUGCAGAUAAGGAUUUAAACAUCAAGUCUUUCGCUGGCACAAAAGGAAGAUGAAAUUCCUAGUUACAACUACACAAUAGAAAUGAUGUUGACAUUGGCUAUGCCUGGUGGGUAAACAUUGUGAUAUACAGCUGGCAAUGAGAAAACAAAAAUGACAUACAGAAUAUGAAAUUAAGCAUCAAUGUGGGGAAGUAUGACAAUGCUUCAUCUGCAAAGAUGACUUAAAAAGAGAAUUUUGUGGGUAGUAAGAAGGGGGAAUUUGAGUUUUCAUAGACCAUCUAAUAUAUGACUACACUUCCUUAAAUACCUAUCCUGUUCACAUUUUACCUUGUUAAUGAAAUUAUUUUUAACUUGGUUGAAUUUUUAUAGCCAUUGAAAUGGAAAAAUAACUAAGGUAUCAACAUAAGAAUAGAUUUUGUUCAUCUGUUAUGUUUUUGUUCAUUUAUUGUUAAAGUAAUAUUAGUGUUGAAAAUUUGAAAUGUUUAAGUACACUGUAAGAUAAAAUAAUUAAUUCUGCUAAUGUGUUUGGGAACCAUUAUUUUCAGUGUAAGAUGAAAGAAGUACUAGUAAAAUAUCAGGGUUUUAUGAAAAAUAUGAAUAGAUCAGUAUAAGCUCAUAACUUAAAAUAGUAUGUUGUGAUUCCUUGCCAUGUCCACUGAUGGUAGUCAAGACUCAAUGACAUCCCAUUGGUUAGAAGCACCUGAAGCAGC
This is a long non-coding RNA of Zalophus californianus (California sea lion), 2403 nucleotides long. NCBI's taxonomy places the organism in Eukaryota, Metazoa, Chordata, Mammalia, Carnivora, Otariidae. The record is from Ensembl.